UCCGUAGGUGAACCUGCGGAGGGAUCAUUACCGAGUUUACAACUCCCAAACCCAAUGUGAACGUUACCAAACUGUUGCCUCGGCGGGAUCUCUGCCCCGGGUGCGUCGCAGCCCCGGACCAAGGCGCCCGCCGGAGGACCAACCAAAACUCUUUUUGUAUACCCCCUCGCGGGUUUUUUAUAAUCUGAGCCUUCUCGGCGCCUCUCGUAGGCGUUUCGAAAAUGAAUCAAAACCUUCAACAACGGAUCUCUUGGUUCUGGCAUCGAUGAAGAACGCAGCGAAAUGCGAUAAGUAAUGUGAAUUGCAGAAUUCAGUGAAUCAUCGAAUCUUUGAACGCACAUUGCGCCCGCCAGUAUUCUGGCGGGCAUGCCUGUCCGAGCGUCAUUUCAACCCUCGAACCCCUCCGGGGGGUCGGCGUUGGGGAUCGGCCCUGCCUCUUGGCGGUGGCCGUCUCCGAAAUACAGUGGCGGUCUCGCCGCAGCCUCUCCUGCGCAGUAGUUUGCACACUCGCAUCGGGAGCGCGGCGCGUCCACAGCCGUUAAACACCCAACUUCUGAAAUGUUGACCUCGGAUCAGGUAGGAAUACCCGCUGAACUUAAGCAUAUCAAUAAGCGGAGGA
Molecule: ribosomal RNA, 619 nt
Filed under: Trichoderma harzianum
Lineage: Eukaryota; Fungi; Ascomycota; Sordariomycetes; Hypocreales; Hypocreaceae
Description: eukaryotic LSU rRNA
Rfam family: 5.8S ribosomal RNA (bases 231-384)
Source: RNAcentral